AAUAUUGGACAAUGGGCGAAAGCCUGAUCCAGCCAUGCCGCGUGUGUGAAGAAGGUCUUCGGAUUGAAAAGCACUUUAAGUUGGGAGGAAGGGUUGUACGUUAAUACCGUGCAAUUUUGACGUUACCGACAGAAUAAGCACCGGCUAACUCUGUGCCAGCAGCCGCGGUAAUACAGAGGGUGCAAGCGUUAAUCGGAAUUACUGGGCGUAAAGCGCGCGUAGGUGGUUCGUUAAGUUGGAUGUGAAAGCCCCGGGCUCAACCUGGGAACUGCAUCCAAAACUGGCGAGCUAGAGUAGGGCAGAGGGUGGUGGAAUUUCCUGUGUAGCGGUGAAAUGCGUAGAUAUAGGAAGGAACACCAGUGGCGAAGGCGACCACCUGGGCUCAUACUGACACUGAGGUGCGAAAGCGUGGGGAGCAAAC
This 421-nucleotide ribosomal RNA is filed under the name uncultured bacterium. RNAcentral describes it as "bacterial SSU rRNA". It matches the Rfam family "Bacterial small subunit ribosomal RNA", at positions 360 to 773 of the family's 1533-position model. The record is from RNAcentral.